GGGCCUGUAGCUCAACGGUUAGAGCAGCAGACUCAUAAUCUGUUGGUUGUAGGUUCGAAUCCUACCGGGCCCACCA
Molecule: transfer RNA, 76 nt
Filed under: Acidobacteria bacterium SCGC AG-212-P17
Lineage: Bacteria; Pseudomonadati; Acidobacteriota
Also listed under: 8 other names
Description: tRNA-Met
Rfam family: tRNA
About the family: Transfer RNA (tRNA) molecules are approximately 80 nucleotides in length. Their secondary structure includes four short double-helical elements and three loops (D, anti-codon, and T loops).
Source: RNAcentral